Non-coding RNA from Acanthosepion pharaonis, 111 nucleotides. The record is from the annotation of a GenBank genome assembly. NCBI's taxonomy places the organism in Eukaryota, Metazoa, Mollusca, Cephalopoda, Sepiida, Sepiidae.
ACGGCCACAUCAUGUUGAAACACCGGUUCCCGUAUGAUUACCGAAGUUAAGUAACGUCGAGAAGGGUCAGUACCUGGAUGGGUGACCGCUUGGGAAUACCAAGUGCAGUAA